UACGUAGGGGGCAAGCGUUGUCCGGAAUUAUUGGGCGUAAAGAGCGUGUAGGCGGUCCGGUAAGUCAGCUGUGAAAGUCAAGGGCUCAACCCUUGAAUGCCGGUUGAUACUGUCGGGCUAGAGUCCGGAAGAGGCGAGUGGAACUCCUGGUGUAGCGGUGGAAUGCGCAGAUAUCAGGAAGAACACCAACGGCGAAGGCAGCUCGCUGGGACGGUACUGACGCUGAGACGCGAAAGCGUGGGGAGCGAACAGG
RNAcentral lists this ribosomal RNA (253 nucleotides) under uncultured bacterium. RNAcentral's name for it is "partial 16S ribosomal RNA". It matches the Rfam family "Bacterial small subunit ribosomal RNA", at positions 524 to 776 of the family's 1533-position model. The record is from RNAcentral.